This 400-nucleotide ribosomal RNA is filed under the name uncultured bacterium. RNAcentral's name for it is "bacterial SSU rRNA". It matches the Rfam family "Bacterial small subunit ribosomal RNA", at positions 36 to 440 of the family's 1533-position model. The record is from RNAcentral.
CUGGCGGCGUGCUUAACACAUGCAAGUCGAACGAUGAAGCCCUUCGGGGUGGAUUAGUGGCGAACGGGUGAGUAACACGUGGGCAAUCUGCCCUUCACUCUGGGACAAGCCCUGGAAACGGGGUCUAAUACCGGAUACCACUCCUGCCCGCAUGGGCGGGGGUUGAAAGCUCCGGCGGUGAAGGAUGAGCCCGCGGCCUAUCAGCUUGUUGGUGGGGUAAUGGCCCACCAAGGCGACGACGGGUAGCCGGCCUGAGAGGGCGACCGGCCACACUGGGACUGAGACACGGCCCAGACUCCUACGGGAGGCAGCAGUGGGGAAUAUUGCACAAUGGGCGAAAGCCUGAUGCAGCGACGCCGCGUGAGGGAUGACGGCCUUCGGGUUGUAAACCUCCUUCAGC